Molecule: ribosomal RNA, 465 nt
Filed under: uncultured bacterium
Lineage: Bacteria
Description: partial 16S ribosomal RNA
Rfam family: Bacterial small subunit ribosomal RNA
Source: RNAcentral
GACGAACGCUGGCGGCGUGCUUAACACAUGCAAGUCGAACGGAAAGGCCCCUUUGGGGGUACUCGAGUGGCGCACGGGUGAGUAACACGUGAGUAACCUGCCCUUGACUUCGGGAUAACUUCAGGAAACUGGGGCUAAUACCGGAUAGGAAUCCUUGCUGCAUGGUGUGGGUUGGAAAGCUUCGGCGGUUUUGGAUGGACUCGCGGCUUAUCAGCUUGUUGGUGGGGUAGUGGCUUACCAAGGCUUUGACGGGUAGCCGGCCUGAGAGGGCGACCGGCCACAUUGGGACUGAGAUACGGCCCAGACUCCUACGGGAGGCAGCAGGGGGGAAUAUUGCACAAUGGGCGGAAGCCGGAUGCAGCAACGCCGCGUGCGGGAUGACGGCCUUCGGGUUGUAAACCGCUUUCAGCAGGGGCGAAGCUUGUGGUGACGGUACCUGCAGAAGAAGCACCGGCUAACUACGUG